GACGAACGCUGGCGGCGUGCUUAACACAUGCAAGUCGAACGGAAAGGCCCUUCUUUUGUGGGGUGCUCGAGUGGCGAACGGGUGAGUAACACGUGAGUAACCUGCCCUUUACUUUUGGAUAACUUCAGGAAACUGUGGCUAAUACCGGAUAUUAGCUCCUGCUGCAUGGUGGGGGUUGGAAAGUUUCGGCGGUUGGGGAUGGACUCGCGGCUUAUCAGCUUGUUGGUGGGGUAGUGGCUUACCAAGGCUUUGACGGGUAGCCGGCCUGAGAGGGUGACCGGCCACAUUGGGACUGAGAUACGGCCCAGACUCCUACGGGAGGCAGCAGUGGGGAAUAUUGCACAAUGGGCGGAAGCCUGAUGCAGCAACGCCGCGUGCGGGAUGACGGCCUUCGGGUUGUAAACCGCUUUCGCCUGUGACGAAGCGUGAGUGACGGUAAUGGGUAAAGAAGCACCGGCUAACUACGUG
This 468-nucleotide ribosomal RNA is filed under the name uncultured bacterium. RNAcentral describes it as "partial 16S ribosomal RNA". It matches the Rfam family "Bacterial small subunit ribosomal RNA", at positions 28 to 507 of the family's 1533-position model. The record is from RNAcentral.